Molecule: non-coding RNA, 109 nt
Organism: Acanthosepion pharaonis
Lineage: Eukaryota; Metazoa; Mollusca; Cephalopoda; Sepiida; Sepiidae
Source: the annotation of a GenBank genome assembly
GUCAUAUCACGUUGAAACACCGGUUCCCAUACGAGCACUGAAAUUAAGCAACGUUGAGCCUGGUCAGUACCUAGAUGGGUGACCUUUUCGGAAUAUCAAGUGUUGUAAG